This 642-nucleotide ribosomal RNA is filed under the name uncultured bacterium. RNAcentral's name for it is "bacterial SSU rRNA". It matches the Rfam family "Bacterial small subunit ribosomal RNA", at positions 226 to 906 of the family's 1533-position model. The record is from RNAcentral.
GGGGUUCGCGUCCCAUUAGGUAGUUGGUGAGGUAACGGCCCACCAAGCCGACGAUGGGUAGCCGAGCUGAAGGCUGAUCGGCCACACUGGAACUGAGACACGGUCCAGACUCCUACGGGAGGCAGCAGUGGGGAAUAUUGGGCAAUGGGCGCAAGCCUGACGCAGCAACGCCGCGUGCAGGAAGAAGGUCUUCGGAUUGUAAACUGUUGUCGCAGGGGAAGCGGUACCCUGUGAGAAAGUCACGGCUAACUACGUGCCAGCAGCCACGGUAAUACGUAGGUGACAAGCGUUGUCCGUAUUUACUGGGUGUAAAGGGCGCGUAGGCGGGAUAGCAAGUCAGCCGUGAAAUGCCGAGGCUUAACCUCGGAGCUGCGGUUGAAACUGUUAUUCUUGAGUAUCGGAGAGGAAAGCGGAAUUCAUAGUGUAGCGGUGAAAUGAGUAGAUAUUAGGAGGAACACCAGUGGCGAAGGCGGCUUUCUGGACGACAACUGACGCUGAGGCGCGAAAGUGUGGGGAGCAAACAGGAUUAGAUACCCUGGUAGUUCACGCCGUAAACGAUGGAUACUAGGUGUAGGACUGUGCCGCAGUUAACACAAUAAGUAUCCCACCUGGGGAGUACGACCGCAAGGUUGCAACUCAAAU